AAGUUGCAGCCCACAGAAAAGUAUUAUCCUCUGCACCCUGAAUUAGCAAAGUCCACAUUUUAUCUUUAUCAGGCAACCAAAGGUGGCAAGGUGUGCAAAGAUCAUCAACCCAAACACUAAAGAUGCGAAGUAAAUUAUAAAUGUCAAGCAAAUCGCAAAGGUAAACUGUGUAUUGAAGUCUCUCCUCAAUCUAAAUUUGCUUUCAUCUCCGAGACUCCGAUGAGUUGUGCAUUGGAUGCGGUAUCUGUGUCAAGAAAUACCCAUUUGAAGCUAUUCAAAUUAUCAAGCUACCGAAAGAUUUGGAUAAAGAUACAGCUCACCAGUAUGGCCCCAACACCUUCAAAUUACACAGGUUACCAGUCCCGAGGCCAGGGCAAGUUAUUCGCUUGCUUGGCACAGAUGGAAUUGGGAAGUCGACUUCUCUUAAGGUUUUGGCUAGGAAGGUGAAACCUAAUUUAGGCCGUUUUAAGGUACUACUCUUAUAUAUUUUGUAUCUCUGUUUGUGCUUGUGGGUUCAUUUUUAUACCCACGUGGAAUAUCUUUUGCAGAAUUCUCCACGUGGAAGAUAAUUUGAAGGUGCCGUCUCAGUUAGGGUGUCUUUAUCAUGUCCUUGCUUGUUCCACCUAUUGAUUAAAUAUCAAAUAUCAUCUGUUUGAUGCAGUAUGACAUCUGGUUUGGUUAUGUAUAAUUCACUGGUUAUGUACUUGUAUGUAACAGUACGCAAAAAGAUUAUCGAAUUCCUUUAAAAACAGCAUCUAUUCCUUUGCCACUCUGUGGGGUGAAUCUAUCCUAUGAUUGCUCAUUAGAAGAUGUUAAGAGAUUAAGUGGGAAAGUGGGUAUUGUUCACCUUUUUAUGUCAAUUUUGGUGAAUUCAAAAAAGCUACCCCUUAAAAAUGUCACAACAUGAUUUAUUUGGCUGUUUGUAAGGAAACAGCGUGGACAUAAUGGUACACAUGAAGGAUAAUCAACGCUAGGUUUUUUCCUUCCUUUUAGUCCAACUAUUUUGUAUGCACAUUCUCACAACACAAGCCACAGCACUUUCUCUGAUGCAAAGAAGAGUUGGUUUGUGUUGUCAUUUUGUUACUUUGACAUAUUUCUUUGUGCUUGCUCAAGUAACUGUCAUUUUGUUAAGUAUCCUGUAUCAUGCCUUUGAUGUAAUUGUGUUUCAUAGGCAGUCAUUAAACCCCAGUAUCUUGAUCGCAUCCCAAAAGCAAUGCAAGGUAAUGUAGGGCAAGUGCUCGAACAGAAAGAUGAGAGAUAAAAGAACGACUCUACGUUGAUAUUGAUUUGAAUAAGGUACUGGAUCGUAACAGAGGGGAUGUCUGGUGGAGAGCUUCAGAGAUUCUCUAUUGCUGUGGUUGCCAUACAGAAUGCAGAGGCUUAAAGCUGCCCAAGUUGUUGGAUCUCUGCUAAGGCGUAAUAGGUGCUCAAUCUUUUUAGGGGAAUAUAGAGAGAAUGAAGUACUCAGAAUCAUGCUUA
RNA transcript from Rhododendron vialii, 1479 nucleotides. RefSeq lists it as uncharacterized. The record is from RefSeq and is a predicted model, not a curated record. The transcript is spliced from 7 exons. NCBI's taxonomy places the organism in Eukaryota, Viridiplantae, Streptophyta, Magnoliopsida, Ericales, Ericaceae.